MicroRNA precursor from Sorghum bicolor (sorghum), 99 nucleotides. It matches the Rfam family "MIR5565 microRNA precursor family". The record is from Rfam. NCBI's taxonomy places the organism in Eukaryota, Viridiplantae, Streptophyta, Magnoliopsida, Poales, Poaceae.
GUAGUCGGAUUCGCAUCAAUCCACAUGUAUUGGAGUGAAUUGGAGUGGAACUUGAACUAAAUUCCACUCCAACACAUGUGGAUUGAGGUGAAUCCGACA